Molecule: long non-coding RNA, 1504 nt
Filed under: Daucus carota (carrot)
Lineage: Eukaryota; Viridiplantae; Streptophyta; Magnoliopsida; Apiales; Apiaceae
Description: long non-coding RNA (DCAR_LNC005996)
Source: RNAcentral
AAAAGGUACACUCUUGGUCUAGUUAAUUACUUAAUAUGUGUGUGAUUUUAUUUUCAGUGGCAUCAAUAAGUUCCCAAAACCAAUUUUUAAUCAAUAGUCAUGGACUUUGCCAACAUAAAGAUCAGCAACUAGAAGGUAGAACUAAUUCAUCAAGCAAAGCAAAAAAGAAGAAGAGGAACAAUGUAUGCUAAGAGGAAGUAGAGGACCAUGAAAAACAUACCUGGUCCAAUAGCGAGCAAUGUUUUUAUCCAGAGGCAACCUGUCCAAAUAACAAACUUCAUCAUCCUCUAAAUGUGAUCAGAGUUUUUUAUAUAUAUUACUUUUUAGGACACCAGACAGGCCUUCAAGGCUUAGGGCUAGGCCUCUGUAGGCGAGCCGGUUAAUUGCUGUUUUAUCGAGAAAUAAAACUAAGGCUGAUGACAUAUAUGUAGACGAGUCAUAAUUCGAAAGUUAAAAAAAAUAAACUCAAUUUGGCCAAUGUCAGUAUAUUCCUCUACUUACAAAAGCAAUCUUAGUUUUCUCUGCGAUCUAAAUUACAAAAAUAUAUGGAUAGUUUAGCUUUAAAGAUUAAUUUUCUUUUACAAAACUGCAUCUUUUCCUCACUUAAAAAGCAACUUUACGCUUCCAUAUGGUCUAAUCAUCCAAAUGAGUUUAUGUUAAGAAACAAGUGAAUCAUAAAAACUAUAGAUACUACCUCAACAUAAAACCAAAAUCACAUUUUCUGUGAGAAAAUAUUAAAGUUUUUGGAAUUGAGACAUAGACGUGCAGAUUAAUAGCUUUGUGAAACAUAUAUCUUUCCCCACUUGCCACCAGAACUGGCAGUCCAAUUCUUCUUAGUUCAACAUCAAUAAACACUCUAAUGCGUAACUUACAAAAAAAAAAUAAGGGAAUAAAAGUAUAAGUCGAUAUACCUGACCAGCCUUAGUUCAAGCACUUUGCAGGAAAGUUAUUUCACCCAGGAUUACAUUUUAUGUUGCUUUUGUAAUAUGUAUCAGACUAUCAGAAGAUAAUCUGUUUUUCUUUUGCUGGUGUUUUUUUGUCACAGUAUCUCGCAUGUCGUGUAUUUCUCAANGGGGGGGGGGGGGGGGGGGGGGGGGGGGGGAGUACACUCUUGGUCUAGUUAAUUACUUAAUAUGCCUGAUUUUAUAUCCAGUGACAUCAAUAAGUUCCCAAAACCAAUUUUUAAUCAAUACUCGUGGACUUUGCCAACAUAAAGAUCAGCAAUUAGAAGCUAAAACUAAUUCAUCAAGCAAAGCAAAAAAAAAAAAAAAGAAGCGAUUAUGCUAAGAGGAGUAUGUGACCAUGAAAAACAUACCAGGUCCAAUAGCGAGCACCAUUUUUAUCCAGAGGCGACCUGUCUAAAUAACAAACUUCAUCAUCCUCUAAAUGUUUUUAUAUAUGAAUACAGCAGAUGUCAAUUUUUCUGCAUAAUUUUAGACCAAUAAGAUAAAGACAGCGUUAUGUUUUUCUUGAGUAGUUGGCAUACCGAGACAGCUUAAAGCCU